UGAGAAAUGGCCACUACGUCUAAGGAUGGCAGCAGGCGCGCAAAUUACCCACUCUCGGCAAGAGGAGGUAGUGACGAGAAAUAACAGGGCUUCCGCCUCGUGCGGUAAGUCACUGGAAUGGGUGGAACACAAACCCGUUUACUAGUACCAAGCAGAGGGCAAGUCUGGUGCCAGCAGCCGCGGUAAUUCCAGCUCUGCCAGUGCAUAGACACAUUGCUGCGGUUAAAAAGCUCGUAGUUGGAUCUCUGGCUGCUGUCGGGUCUCCCUUCGGGGUGCACUCGGUCAGUGGCCAUCCUGCUGGCUCAGCCUCAUCCCCCGUGGGUGCAGGCGGUUGGCUCGUCUACUUUGAACAAAUCAGAGUGCUCAAGACAGGCUCAGUGCCUGAAUGUCUUUGCAUGGAAUAAUGGAAGAGGAUUUCGGUUCUACUUCACGUUGGUUCUGAAGCCGAGAUAAUGGUUAACAGAGACGACCGGGGGCAUUGGUAUUCUCGCGUGAGAGGUGAAAUUCUUGGACCGCGGGAGGACCGACAACAGCGAAGGCAAUUGCCAAGAGCGUCUUCAUUAAUCAAGAACGAAAGUCAGGGGAUCGAAGGCGAUUAGAUACCGCCGUAGUCCUGACCGUAAACGAUGCUAACUAGCGAUCCGUCGGUGCUCGCUCCGGCGACCCGAUGGGGAGCUUGCGGGAAACCAAAGUGUUUCAGCUCCGGGGGUAGUAUGGUCGCAAGGCUGAAACUUAAAGGAAUUGACGGAAGGGCACCACCAGGAGUGGAGCCUGCGGCUUAAUUUGACUCAACACGGGAAACCUCACCCGGGCAGGACACCGUAGGGAUUGACAAACUGACCGGCUUUUCAUGAUUCGGUGGCUGGUGGUGCAUGGCCGUUGUUGGUUCGUGGAGUGAUCUGUCUGGUUAAUUCCGAUAACGAGCGAGACCCGCGCCUGCUAACUAGUACGUCAGCUUUCGCUCCAAGCGACUGCUUUCGGCUUCACUUCUUAGAGGGAUCUGCGGCGCUUAGUCGCAUGAAACGUGGGCAAUAACAGGUCUGUGAUGCCCUUAGACGCCCGGGGCUGCACGCGCGCUACACUGGUGGGAUCAAUGUGUUUGUGCUGACCCGUGAGGGUUCGGCUAAUCCGUUGAAAACCCGCCGUGACUGGGAUCGGAGACUGCAACUAUUCUCCGUGAACGAGGAAUUCCAAGUAAGUGCGAGUCACCA
RNAcentral lists this ribosomal RNA (1211 nucleotides) under Tylenchidae sp. FZ03. RNAcentral's name for it is "SSU rRNA". It matches the Rfam family "Eukaryotic small subunit ribosomal RNA", at positions 397 to 1633 of the family's 1831-position model. Lineage: Eukaryota; Metazoa; Nematoda; Chromadorea; Rhabditida; Tylenchidae. The record is from RNAcentral.